Molecule: ribosomal RNA, 442 nt
Filed under: uncultured bacterium
Lineage: Bacteria
Description: partial 16S ribosomal RNA
Rfam family: Bacterial small subunit ribosomal RNA
Source: RNAcentral
CCUACGGGAGGCAGCAGUGGGGAAUAUUGGGCAAUGGGCGCAAGCCUGACCCAGCAACGCCGCGUGAAGGAAGAAGGCUUUCGGGUUGUAAACUUCUUUUAAGAGGGAAGAGCAGAAGACGGUACCUCUUGAAUAAGCCACGGCUAACUACGUGCCAGCAGCCGCGGUAAUACGUAGGUGGCAAGCGUUAUCCGGAUUUACUGGGUGUAAAGGGGGCGCAGACGGUCCUGCAAGUCUGGAGUGAAACGCAUGAGCUCAACUCAUGCAUGGCUUUGGAAACUGGAGGACUGGAGAGCAGGAGAGGGCGGUGGAACUCCAUGUGUAGCGGUAAAAUGCGUAGUUAUAUGGAAGAACACCAGUGGCGAAGGCGGCCGCCUGGCCUGUUGCUGACGCUGAGGCACGAAAGCGUGGGGAGCAAAUAGGAUUAGAUACCCGAGUAGUA